Molecule: non-coding RNA, 1117 nt
Organism: Clarias gariepinus (North African catfish)
Lineage: Eukaryota; Metazoa; Chordata; Actinopteri; Siluriformes; Clariidae
Source: the annotation of a RefSeq genome assembly
CACACACACAGACAGUUGUGGUGUUUGCAUAUGUGUGCUGUGUCAGUGCUGCACACACUUUAAGAGCUGUAGUGCUGAUCAGAGUGUGUUCAGUCCUUUCAGAGCCACUGACACGCAGCACAAUGAUGAUGGUACUGAUUCUACUGCUGGGGACACUGGGACUCCUCGCUCACCAGUCCUUUGGGGAAAUCGUCCUGACUCAGUCUCCAGGAACUCAGUCUGUUUCUCCAGGACAAUCUGUUACUCUCACCUGUACAACCAGUCAGAGUGUUUACAGUAACCUCCACUGGUACCUGCAGAAACCUGGAGAAGCUCCUAAACUCCUGAUCUAUGCUGCAACUUAUCGUCAGUCUGGGAUUCCAGAUCGUUUCAGUGGCAGUGGAUCUGGAACACAAUUUAGUCUAAAAAUCUCUGGAGUUCAGACUGAAGAUGCAGGAGAUUAUUACUGUCAGCAGGGUAACAGCCUUCCGUACACACAGUGUUAUAGCGCCGUACAAAAACCUCCCUCAGCUGUAGAGGAAGUGCUCUAAGUCAGAAACACACACUGAUCUGAGAACAGCUGCAGAUCUGCCAAAGCUGCACUCCACUGAACAUCAUCAAACGUCUUCAUGUUUAAAUAAUAAUCAUUCCUGAGAAGCAGAAAACUCUAAAUCAGCUGUUCCUUCUGUGAUGAGAAAUCAUCUGAUGUGUAUAAUGGUGUAUGAUGAUGAUUUCCACCUUCUGCUAAGAGGAGCAGCGUCUACUACACACUCCUGUAACACACACUGUAGUGCAGGAGCUUUCAAUAAGACUCAACAUUCAUUUCUAUAUUAUUCUGUAUUUUAAUCAGAAUUCUCUCAUCAUCUGUAAAGUUUAAGCACAAAACACUUUCCUUUUCUCCUCCAUAUAAAUAAACCUGAAGUGACCUGAAGACCUUAAACACACAUGACCUGAGUUCCUGCUGAAGGAGAAAAUCACCACAAUAAAACAUAAAGCUUCAUUUGACUGAAGCUAAAUGUGAAGCCAGUGUGAUGCAGGUCUACGUGAUGAUGUAAUGACUGUAAUGAUGAUGUCACUGUCAUUACAAUAUUAGUCAGUACAUUCUCUCUGUACAUUUUACAAAGCAGAGGCAGACUGG